Homo sapiens (human) is the source of this 1927-nucleotide long non-coding RNA. Ensembl annotates it as GMDS divergent transcript. Its record names the gene GMDS-DT. The record is from Ensembl. NCBI's taxonomy places the organism in Eukaryota, Metazoa, Chordata, Mammalia, Primates, Hominidae.
GGCCACCGCGCGGGAGGGGCGGGGCCUGCCGCCGCCACCGCCUCAGGGAAGAGGAAGGAGGCCGCGGCUUCGCGUCCCGCCUCUCGCCUGGCUGGCCGUGGGGGGCCUGGACGCAGUGGCCUCCCGAAUCUCCCAGGACCCUAAUAUCGCCCGAGGAUGCUGGGAGGAACGCUGAGCCGACCUCUCCGUUAGGCUGAAGAUUGCACAAACCAUGCUAAUGGCCAGCAUGGAUGGAGGGAGCGUGUGAGAUGUGUGGGGCAGCGUGCUGCAUCUCAGCCAACUCCAGGAGCCAGUUGAUGUGAUGGACUACCUUAAUUGAUUUUUGAAUGUUGAGCCAGCCUUAUGCAUGUGGGAUAAACCCCUGUUGAUCAUGAUGGAACGAAGUCUGUUUGUGGAAACACCCUUCCCCUCUGUUUACUUGGACCUGAUUUUGAAAGUAACAAGUCACUUUAUUUGGGCUGGAGGAAAAAGCACUAAACCAGAUGUUGAGGUGACCGGGAUUCCUGGAAGACAUUCUUCUCUCCAACGAGACACAUGAUGCAUGAAGUAGGAGCCCCUGGCAAGGAGCCCAGGCUGCCAUGGCCUCGCUCGCUCCUGCUUCCCGGCAUGGCCCCGAGGCUAGCUGCCUCUGUACUGCCUGAGCAUCGUCCCCUGGCGUGUCACCAGACUACCCACUACCUGUGCUUGCACCUGCAGGUGGGCAGUUCAGUCGUUGCAGGCUGAAGCUCCCUGUCACAGGAGUCCAUCAGCACUGGAGUUUACCAAAUGGCCCAGUCCAGGAAGCAUGCUCAUGGCAAUACCCGGAGUCUCCACUGCAAGACCAGAGUGACGGAGGCAGCAGAGCUCCUCAGCAGGCCAGGAGUCUCCAGAGGCACUGCCGAAUGUCUAAGAAGCAACCUCAUUGUAUUCCCAAGACCUGGGAAUCCAGGUCUCGCAGAUACGAUGAUACAAUCUAUAGCCAGGACAUCUCUUCAUGUGUAGUUUUCAAUGAAUACUAGGAUAAGCAACUAUCCCAGUCUUCCCAGGAUUGAGGGGCUUCUCCAGAUGCUGCACUUCUGGUGCUAAAAAUGAGAAACUGAAAUGAAUUAGUCACCCAAGGAAUGCUGACCCUGUGCUAUAUGAUCACAUUUACUCUUUAAAGCAAUGCUUUGAGAACAAUUGAGCUGCAUAGUCCCUGCAAUCUUAUAAAGGCAUUUGGCCUGGAAGAUGCUCUGCAGCCAUGUGCCAAGAAUAACGGCUAUAGGGACAAUGUUUCAUUAACCCCAAAGCAGCAACCUGAACCUCUUACUGUACAAUAUCUGCUCCGUUCAGAAUUAGCUCGACUUGAGUCACAGGAUGAAGCUUACCAAAAGGAAUUUCCACGUCCAAGGAAGGAACCAAGAUCACUGAGAGGUUAUAGUAUGAAAAGUGAAGAGAAAAAACCUAUUCUAAACAUUUUAUUAAUUGUCAAUAAUUAUUUUAAAAUAUUUAAUAUAGUCUCCUACCUGGUCCACUGGCAUCAAGCUGCCAAAUUUACACGGUCACUUUGGGAAGCCAGCUGGCAGGCAAACAUGGAAAGUGCUGGCUCCUAGCGUAGUGAGAAGACCACAGAUAGAUGGUAAUUUUCUUCUUUGUUUUAUUUUUCUUUUUCUUCUCUCCCUCUUUUUCUUCCCUCUUGCCUUUCCCUCCCAUUGCCCACUUUCUUUUUUUGGCUGCCGAAGAUUUAUUGCCUUUCAGUACUUAUAGAUGAUGUUUUCAUAAGUUCUAAUGAGGUCCCAGCAGUUUUUAACAAUAACAGGACAUUACUGUUCCUAAGAUAUAUUAUGUGUUUUCCCUCAUCUUUCUCCCUUGAAUGAAAUGCUUAGAAGUAGGCUAACCCCCAAUUCCCUUCCCUUUACUAUGAUAAAUGGCUCCAUUACUUAAUAGGGCUAAAUACUCUGCUGUGACU